GCAAGUUUCUUAAUUAUAGACCCCAGCUACAAAAUAAAGCAUUUGUUCUCUCCGUUUGGGAGCCAGACCUCCUGAUUAAUUUCUGUUUUAGGAAGAGGAAUGAAAUAUAUGCUUCUUAUCGAAUAUAAACAGGGUGACUAAGAUGAUGACAAGCACUAUAUCUCCUUCAGAAUCAGCACAAGAUGUUGGAGCAGGAUUCCGUCCCAACGAGAAGGAAUUGGUGAAUCAUUUUCUCAAGCUAAAAUUGCUUGGUCAUGAUCACCAAGUCCGUAGAAUCCCCGAACUUGACGUCUACAAGCGUGAGCCCUGGGAUUUACCCCAGUAUUCGGUAGCGAACUCGAGUGAUGAAGAAUGGUAUUUCUUUCAUCAUUGCCGUAGCGGACGGCCUAGCAGAACAACAAAAGUUGGAUAUUGGAAAAACACUGGUAGAAAACGCAAAAUUAGGGACGAACAGGAAGAGAUUGGUACAAAAAGAAUUUAUGUUUUCCAUAUCGGCCGUGCUCCUAGAGGGGAAAGAACAGGGUGGAUCAUCCAUGAAUACACUGCAGCUUUUAAUUUACCUAACCAGGUAAAUUAAAUUCUCUUCAUUUUUCAGUCUAUAAGUUCAUUUGUUUGUCUUUUCUUGUUUUUCAAGAUCAAUCAUCUCCUAUCAUUUUGCUUUCCUUCUUCUGUAGAGGGCUUUCGUUCUCUGUAAACUAUUUAAAAAACGUAUGCCGGUCACUGGUGAAGUUGAACUUAGUCGCAAAAUGGCUGCUUGUAAUCUUGAAAAUCAGAAUUCUUAUCAGAAGACUAAUAAUUCAGCCUUCGAUGAAGGUGAAACAAGUCAUCUUAUGACUUUUGAAAAUCAAGCAACAGAUUUUGCAAUUCAAGAAGAGGUGAGGAAGGAACUAGUAGCCUUGUGGGGUAUAAUUUAACGUAACAUGGGACCUGUAUCAAUCAUCUAGAACUAAUGCUUACUUUUCUGUGAGUAUCUACAGGUACAUUCUCAACCGACACCUCAUCUGGGACCGUUUUACGGCUGUAAUGAACAGAAUUACAACCUUAACUCUGCACUGAAUUCAACUAUGCAAGACUUUACUUGUGAUGAUCUU
Molecule: unclassified non-coding RNA, 1091 nt
Filed under: Hevea brasiliensis (rubber tree)
Lineage: Eukaryota; Viridiplantae; Streptophyta; Magnoliopsida; Malpighiales; Euphorbiaceae
Source: RNAcentral